Molecule: long non-coding RNA, 1002 nt
Filed under: Anas platyrhynchos platyrhynchos (common mallard)
Lineage: Eukaryota; Metazoa; Chordata; Aves; Anseriformes; Anatidae
Description: lncRNA (ENSAPLG00000028775.1)
Source: RNAcentral
AUGUGGAGACCUCAGUACCCAGCAGGGUGGCACGGGGCUCGGGGAGGGGUUUGGCCACCCACAGCCCCCUGGCCUCAGCCCCCGCUCGGUGGUGGCACGGUGUGGGCCUCCUGUGUGCCAGGGCAGGGCACGGGCAGACUGAGGGGAGCCGUGGCACACAGCAGGGCACACGGCAUGGCGGGCACACAGCAUGGCGGGCACACAGCGUGGAGGGCACACAACAUGGCGGGCACCUCACUGGGCAGCGCAGCACACACCCUCCCUUCCCCAGAUGGCUUUUUUUUUUUGAGGUGUUUUUAUUGUUGUUGUUCACGUUUUUUGAUGUUUUAUUAUUAUUAUUACCAUUAUCUUUAUUAUUAUUAUUAUUACUGCUAUCGCCGAGCAGCCCCACAGGGAAUCGCCACAUCCCCACGGCCGGCCACCAACCACCCCGUGCCCCUCCCCCCCGCCUUGCCGCUCCCCUCCCCUCCCCCUCCCCCCGAGCGGCGCGGCGGCCGCCCCUCCUCCCUCCCCUCCCCCUCCCUUCCCCUCCGCCCUUCCCCUCCCUCCCCUCCCCCUCCCCGCGCGGCCCCGCGGGGUCACGUGCCCCCUCCCCCUCUCCUCCCCCCCCCCGCCCUCCCCCUUCCCAUCCCCCCGGCGGGGCGGGGGAGGGGCAGCGCAGCCGCUCUGCGCGGCGGGGUCAGCGGCGGGUACCGACAACCCUGUAAGAGGCGGGCACUGCCCGCACGGCCCCGGCGCCGCCUCCAUUUUGUGUCCCCGGUGUCCCCAGCCCCCACCCCGCCCCCGGCCGCGGCUGGGCUGGGGGAGCGGGUUGGGGGGUCAAGGGAAAACAUCCAAAUGCUCAGCCUCACUCUGCAACGGGGGCAGCCUCAGGCAUUUUGGGGAGGGGGCGACCAUGCUUGGGUCCCCUCAGCAGUGUUACUGCAGGGCGCAGAAAAGCCCUGUGCAGCCCCACUGAGCUCCCCUGAAAUCCAUCAGUUGUCAUCAUUCAGUCAUUUCUAA